GGAAGGGGCUGAGUUUGAGGAAUGAAAAUUGCCUUAAGAUUUCUUUUUUGUGUGUGUGGUUCUGGGGAUUGAGCCCAGGGGUACUUUGCCACUGAGCUGCAUCCGCAGCCCUUUUUUGUUUUCUUUUGAUACAGGAUCUCCCUAUGUUGCUGAGGCUAGCCUCAAAUCUAUGAUCCUCCUGCCUCACCUUCUCAAGUUGCUCUGAUUACAGGUACAUUAAUACCUGGCUUAGGUACAUUUUAAAGGUGUGUCAUUCCCCCCACCCCUCGCCCCUAUGAGAGCAGCAAACUUAUCAUCCUGGAGGCACAUAAGUUUUUAAUAUCAGGCCACAUUCUGUAUAAGCAUCUCUGUCUUGUGAUAGGUGUGAAUUGCUAUAACUGUUAAGAGAACACAUAGGUGGGAAAUGAGAGAGAACACAAAUCAUGGCAAGUAACAUGUUCAGGGGUCUGGGAAUUUGCCAUUCUCAUGGCAAAUUCAAAGUUUUUUCCUUUGUGUUGUUUGUCCUGGGAAUGUCAUGGUAAGAGCAUCGUGGUCUCAGAAGAUAAUAAGGUAGUUUAAGGGGUUAGGUAAGGCACACACCAAGUUUUUAAUUCCUAACAAGCUAUAAGUUAAGAUGGGAGAGCAGAGGAAAAA
This 633-nucleotide long non-coding RNA is filed under the name Marmota monax (woodchuck). The record is from RNAcentral. Lineage: Eukaryota; Metazoa; Chordata; Mammalia; Rodentia; Sciuridae.